This 468-nucleotide ribosomal RNA is filed under the name uncultured bacterium. RNAcentral describes it as "partial 16S ribosomal RNA". It matches the Rfam family "Bacterial small subunit ribosomal RNA", at positions 28 to 507 of the family's 1533-position model. The record is from RNAcentral.
GACGAACGCUGGCGGCGUGCUUAACACAUGCAAGUCGAACGGAAAGGCCCUGCUUUUGUGGGGUGCUCGAGUGGCUAACGGGUGAGUAACACGUGAGUAACCUGCCCUUGACUUUGGGAUAACUUCAGGAAACUGGGGCUAAUACCGGAUAGGAGCUCCUGCUGCAUGGUGUGGGUUGGAAAGUUUCGGCGGUUGGGGAUGGACUCGCGGCUCAUCAGCUUGUUGGUGGGGUAGUGGCUUACCAAGGCUUUGACGGGUAGCCGGCCUGAGAGGGUGACCGGCCACAUUGGGACUGGGAUACGGCCCAGACUCCUACGGGAGGCAGCAGUGGGGAAUAUUGCACAAUGGGCGGAAGCCUGAUGCAGCAACGCCGCGUGCGGGAUGACGGCCUUCGGGUUGUAAACCGCUUUCGCCUGUGACGAAGCGUUAGUGACGGUAAUGGGUAAAGAAGCACCGGCUAACUACGUG